Non-coding RNA from Dermacentor albipictus, 295 nucleotides. Lineage: Eukaryota; Metazoa; Arthropoda; Arachnida; Ixodida; Ixodidae. The record is from RefSeq and is a predicted model, not a curated record.
CAAACGCAGACGUGUACAUCGCCGCUUCAGCAAGAAAUGAAAAUUUUCCGAGUACAACCAGGACGUCAGAAGCUUUCGAACAUGCCUUGACGCUCAGCGAAAGGUGUUUGAGGUCGGCCGUGCUGCUUCUCCAUUUUGCACUGAACGCAACGAAACGUGCCAUACGGAGUGCUUCAUUCGGUCCUGUUCAUGGCCUGUCCCCCAUAGUGGGCUUGGUUUGGUUUGGUGCUUACAGAUAUAUGGCUCUACCCACUACGAGGGAUCGGCCAUGAAUCCGGUGGCAGUAGGUAAGUAG